Caenorhabditis elegans is the source of this 230-nucleotide non-coding RNA. Lineage: Eukaryota; Metazoa; Nematoda; Chromadorea; Rhabditida; Rhabditidae. The record is from Ensembl.
UUUAGGCUUAGGCUUAGGCUUAGGCUUAUGCUUAGGCGUAGGCUUAGGCUGAGGCUUAGGUUUAAGUUUAGACUUAGGCUUAGGCUUAGGCUAAGGCGUAGGCUUUGGCAUUGGCUUAGGCUUUGGCUUUGGCUUAGGCGUAGGCUGAGGCUCAGGUUUAAGUUUAGAUUUAGGCUUAGGCUUAGGCUAAGGCGUAGGCUUAGGCUAAGGCGUAGGCUUUGGCUUUGGCU